RNAcentral lists this ribosomal RNA (353 nucleotides) under Salmonella enterica subsp. enterica serovar Potsdam. Its description in RNAcentral is "partial 23S ribosomal RNA". It matches the Rfam family "Bacterial large subunit ribosomal RNA", at positions 1 to 390 of the family's 2925-position model. RNAcentral also lists the same sequence under 9 other names. The record is from RNAcentral. Lineage: Bacteria; Pseudomonadati; Pseudomonadota; Gammaproteobacteria; Enterobacterales; Enterobacteriaceae.
GGUUAAGCGACUAAGCGUACACGGUGGAUGCCCUGGCAGUCAGAGGCGAUGAAGGGCGUGCUAAUCUGCGAUAAGCGCCGGUAAGGUGAUAUGAACCGUUAUAACCGGCGAUACCCGAAUGGGGAAACCCAGUGUGAUUCGUCACACUAUCAUUAACUGAAUCCAUAGGUUAAUGAGGCGAACCGGGGGAACUGAAACAUCUAAGUACCCCGAGGAAAAGAAAUCAACCGAGAUUCCCCCAGUAGCGGCGAGCGAACGGGGAGGAGCCCAGAGCCUGAAUCAGCAUGUGUGUUAGUGGAAGCGUCUGGAAAGGCGCGCGAUACAGGGUGACAGCCCCGUACACAAAAGCGCAU